UUCUGUUUUGUGUCUGCACCAGACAGGACUGUUUGUUUUUGUUCUAGGCCACAGAUAGGAUGCUUUGCUCACGUUAUUAAUCUAGCAUCUCGAAAAGCAACGUCGGUGAGUACAAUCUCUCGCCUCCUAGCAAAAGAUCAGGAAGGUGGCAUCCUUCUUUCAUAAAAGCACAACUGCUGCACAUGUUUUCAAGACAAAACAGGAGAUGCUGAAGCUACCAAACCACAAACUAAUCCAAGAUGUCCCUACUAGAUGGAAUUCAAGCCAUGACAUGGUUGAGAUACCUUGAGCAGAAAGUUGCAGUGUAUUCUACACUGACUGAUCAAGCUGUGAGGAAGAAUGUUAAAUAUAUUGUGACUUAAACCUCUCGAAACAGUUACAACUCUGAUAUGCACUGAGAUCAUUCCAUCAGUUUCCAUGGUCCUGCCUAUGAAAACAAUGAUCCUGAAAUCAAUGGUGGCAUCUGAUGAAGAUGAACCCGCAGUAAGGGAUGUCAAGACUGCUAUCAGAGUUAACCUGGAGCCUAGAUAUGCUGACCCUGGUGUCCAAGACUUCUUGCACAAGAGCACCGCUUUGGACCCCCGGUUCAAGUCUCUGCUGCACCUGGAUGCUGCUGCUCAUCUGAGAGUCUACAAUGAACUCACAGCAGAGAUUGUGACCAAUAUACAACAGGGUCAAGCCACAGAUACCACAGGAGCCAACCCCUCUCCAGAGACAGCAGGGGUUCUCUUCCAGAAAAUAAGUCUGACAUGGCUGAACUUUUGGGGGAAGUUGUUCACGACCCAGGAGCAGGGAACUGUUGAUGGAAUUUAUAGGUUUAAAUUAAUGAUUAGAAUACUCCACCCUGAAACCAUAUAAUUGUAUGAAAUUGAUUAGAAUCAUAAUUAAUUCAUGAUGGGUGUGGUUUUAGUCAGUAGAAUUAUAUAUCUGUGAGUGUAGUUUUUAGUCAGAAUUAGGGUAUAACAAUAUAUCUGUACAAUAUGUCUAUAGUAUCUUAAAAACAGACUGUUUGAGCAAGAUUCGGUGCCGACCUUGGCUGGGGGCCACAGAGUACUUCCCAGGGUCUCCCUAUCGUGAGGGAGGACGGGGAGUGAUUCUCACGGACUCCCCUAAUCUUUGUCGGCUGGGUAGCAGGACAGUGUGUGCAUAGGAUAUCUAAUGUUUGUGUGCAAAUGUAUGUGCGUAUGAAUUCUGUUUGAUUGCAAGAGUAUGUGUGUAAGGAGCUAGUAUAAAAUGAAUGGUUUUGUACAACUAACCAGCGUGCCCGUGAAUAAACCUUAUUGACUAUUUUA
Salvelinus sp. IW2-2015 is the source of this 1292-nucleotide long non-coding RNA. RefSeq lists it as uncharacterized. NCBI's taxonomy places the organism in Eukaryota, Metazoa, Chordata, Actinopteri, Salmoniformes, Salmonidae. The record is from RefSeq and is a predicted model, not a curated record.